GUUAGUUUAAGAUAUUUGACUUAGUUGAAUUUAAAUUUAAAUUAUGAGGAAUUUUAUAUUAGUAAUUAAUCAAUAUUUUAUUCCUUAAAAAAAAAAAAAGGUAUAGCUGAGUUUAAAUUUUAAAUUCCUAGAUUUUUUCUAAUCAGUUGAAUAUAUACGAUAUGGUUUUACCAUUCAAUGAAACGAUGAACACAAAUUUCAUUCUCUACUUCUUUCUCUCCACUUAGAUAAUUCCUAAAUCUCUCAUAGCCUCUAUCACACCAAAUUACAGCAUAGCAUAAAUUGAAGCCUCUAUCACAAUAUUCAAUUUCUAAGGGCCUAGAAGGUAUCGUAGGAGUUAAUUACAGCGGAGUUGAGAUAAGUAAGCCUGUAAGCUUUCGGUGACAAGUUGAGUCUGGGCAGCAUGGGGUGUAUCUCGUGUGAUCAUGUAACUGCGUGUGGUCUUGGCCAUCUUCCGCUGAAAGUUUUUUUUUUUUAAUUUAUUAAACUUAUCGAGGAUGUUGUCGUUUAAAUUUUCUAUUACUUUUCCCUAAGUGGUAAUACUUUAUUUUCAACUGGGUACCCAUGUUUUGAAAAUUGUUUUUUUUUAAUAAAGGCAACAUUAGUAUCUUAACGCCAGUUUAUUUAUGGCAUCUUAUUUUAUAUAAGUAAGGGCGUUACAUUAUAACCUAACAACUACCUAAAAAAGGACAUGCCGUUUUUCUGUGUCUUGCACCAGUAAAAACGGUAGGCUGUUUCUACAGAAAUGGCCUGCCGUUUUUCACUGCAGAAAAACAUAGGUACCCUAAAACGAUCUAAAUCUACCCCAAAACAUACCACAAGCUCCAGAACACCUAAUUGAGGAUCAAUAAACAUAUACCAACUGAAAAUUUUAUAAUCAAGCUACUAAAAUUAAAAUCACCAUUAAAGGGUCAUUUUUGAGCUUAAAAGCUCCAUACUAGCUUAAACACUACCAUAGCCACAAAAACCAGCUUGAACCAACUUGAAUAAUCAAAAAUCAAUAAAAGGAAGUACUCUAAAACA
This is a long non-coding RNA of Cannabis sativa, 1023 nucleotides long. RefSeq lists it as uncharacterized. The transcript has 3 exons. The record is from RefSeq and is a predicted model, not a curated record. NCBI's taxonomy places the organism in Eukaryota, Viridiplantae, Streptophyta, Magnoliopsida, Rosales, Cannabaceae.